Antechinus flavipes (yellow-footed antechinus) is the source of this 1440-nucleotide long non-coding RNA. RefSeq lists it as uncharacterized. The transcript has 3 exons. NCBI's taxonomy places the organism in Eukaryota, Metazoa, Chordata, Mammalia, Dasyuromorphia, Dasyuridae. The record is from RefSeq and is a predicted model, not a curated record.
UCAGGUACUAGGCGUAAUGAACAAUGGAGACUUCCUAAUAACCUGGAGCCGUGGAUCAGAGACUGAAAAUAUUUAGCCCUGCAUGUAUGUGUGCUUUAAAAAAAAAAAAAUGAAAUCAUUUACUCUCCAAAAUUUGGUUCCAUGAGUUUGGUAUGAAUAUUUUUAGAAAAUGCAUAGUAACAUAUCAUGUGUGGUUCUUUCUUUAGGACUGCAGCCAUGCGUAUUUCCCGUCGAUGGCUAUAUUUUUAAGCUGCUGAAGAUCCACUAGACAUCUUGAGACCUCAUUGUUUGUAUGAUCCUUUGAACAAUGUGUCUCAGAAUGUUGUGGGAUUUUAGCACCUACAACAUUUUCUUCUUCCCUGAAAUGUCUUUUGAUUAUUCAAAAUUGUCAAAUUUAAGAUAAUUUCUCUAAAAAAAACCUUUAAACAAAUUUUAAUGUCUGUACAGGAAGAAAAUUAAACAGUGCUGGAAGAAGGGACUUUUCAAGUUGAAGGCAUAAUGUAUCAUGAACUCCCCAAUCACCUGCUGCCAUUGAUCAGAGACAUGAAAGAAUUUAGCGCUGCAUAUUAUCACCCUGCUUAUUUCCUUUACAUCCCUCUAUUUUUGAGAUGCUGAAGGGCCACUAGACAUCCUAAAACCCCAUUUUUUGUAUGACACCUUCAACAAGCUGUCUCAGAAUGUUGUGGGCCUUUAGUACCUACAGCACCAACUUCUUCUUCUUCCCCGAGUUGUAUAUUCAGAAUGCAAAAAUAUCUAAUUUAACAUAAUUUUCUGAAAAAAAAAAACAUUUAAACCUUUAAGGUCUUUGCAAGAAUCAAAGUAAACAUUUCUGGAAGGAGGGGACUUUUCAAAUAGAAGGCAUGUGAACCAUGGACUCCCCAGUAACGUGAGGCCAUGGAUCAGAGAUAUGAACGAAUUUAUCUCUACAGGAUUACAGCCAUGCUUAUUUCUUGUUGACGGCUGUAUUUUUGAGCUGCUGGAGGUCCACUAGACAUUCUGAUACCCCAUUGUUUGUAUGACCCUUUGAACAACGUGUCAAGAUUCUGAGGAACGUUGUGGAUAUUUAGUACCAACAACAACAACUUCUUCUUCUACCCUGAGAUGUAUAUUCAGAAUUCCAAAUUGUUUAAUUUAAGAUAAUUUUCUGGAAAAAGAAAACCUUUCAUCCUGUCCGGUCUUUCAGGAAUAAAAUUAAAUAUGGCUGCAAGAAGGUGAUUUUCAGGUACUAGGCGUAAUGAACAAUGGAGACUUCUCAAUAACCUGGAGCCGUGGAUCAGAGACUGAAAAUAUUUAGCCCUGCAUGUAUGUGUGCUUUAAAAAAAAAAAAAAUUAAAUUAUUUACUCUCCAAAAUUUGGUUCCAUGAGUUUGGUAUGAAUAUUUUUAGAAAAUGCAUAGUAAUGUAUCAUGUGUGCUUCUUUCUUUAGGACUGCAGCCAUGCG